AUAAAGUUUGUGCACAGUUGAGCUAUC
Molecule: non-coding RNA, 27 nt
Filed under: Cricetulus griseus (Chinese hamster)
Lineage: Eukaryota; Metazoa; Chordata; Mammalia; Rodentia; Cricetidae
Source: RNAcentral